AUUGAACGCUGGCGGCAUGCCUUACACAUGCAAGUCGAACGGCAGCACGGGAGCAAUCCUGGUGGCGAGUGGCGAACGGGUGAGUAAUGUAUCGGAACGUACCUUCAGUGGGGGAUAACGUAGCGAAAGUUACGCUAAUACCGCAUAUUCUGUGAGCAGGAAAGCAGGGGAUCGCAAGACCUUGCGCUGAUUGAGCGGCCGAUAUCAGAUUAGCUAGUUGGUGAGGUAAAGGCUCACCAAGGCGACGAUCUGUAGCGGGUCUGAGAGGAUGAUCCGCCACACUGGAACUGAGACACGGUCCAGACUCCUACGGGAGGCAGCAGUGGGGAAUUUUGGACAAUGGGCGCAAGCCUGAUCCAGCCAUGCCGCGUGAGUGAAGAAGGCCUUCGGGUUGUAAAGCUCUUUCAGCCGGGAAGAAAACGCAUGGGUUAAUACCCUGUGUGGAUGUCGGUACCGGAAUAAGAAGCACCGGCUAACUACGUG
This 483-nucleotide ribosomal RNA is filed under the name uncultured bacterium. Its description in RNAcentral is "bacterial SSU rRNA". It matches the Rfam family "Bacterial small subunit ribosomal RNA", at positions 30 to 507 of the family's 1533-position model. The record is from RNAcentral.